Non-coding RNA from Mycena vulgaris, 92 nucleotides. Lineage: Eukaryota; Fungi; Basidiomycota; Agaricomycetes; Agaricales; Mycenaceae. The record is from the annotation of a GenBank genome assembly.
GGCUCGGUAGCGGAGGGUCCGCAUCUGCUUCAAUUCGGGAUAUCGACUGACAUACACAGCAGACAGCGCCUGUUCGACUCAGGCCCGAGCCA